Molecule: ribosomal RNA, 432 nt
Filed under: uncultured bacterium
Lineage: Bacteria
Description: partial 16S ribosomal RNA
Rfam family: Bacterial small subunit ribosomal RNA
Source: RNAcentral
ACGCACGCUGGCGGCAUGCCUAACACAUGCCAGUCGAACGAGACCUUCGGGUCUAGUGGCGCACGGGUGCGUCACGCGUGGGAAUCUGCCCUUCGGUUGGGAAUAACUGAGAGAAAUUUCAGCUAAUACCUUAUAAUGUCUUCGGACCAAAGAUUUAUCGCCGAGGGAUGAGCCCGCGUAGGAUUAGGUAGUUGGUGGGGUAAUGGCCUACCAAGCCGACGAUCCUUAGCUGGUCUGGGAGGAUGAUCAGCCACACUGGGACUGAGACACGGCCCAGACUCCUACGGGAGGCAGCAGUGGGGAAUAUUGGACAAUGGGCGAAAGCCUGAUCCAGCAAUGCCGCGUGAGUGAUGAAGGCCUUAGGGUUGUAAAGCUCUUUUACCCGGGAUGAGAAUGACAGUACCGGGAGAAUAAGCUCCGGCUAACUCCGUG